RNAcentral lists this ribosomal RNA (492 nucleotides) under uncultured bacterium. RNAcentral's name for it is "partial 16S ribosomal RNA". It matches the Rfam family "Bacterial small subunit ribosomal RNA", at positions 29 to 507 of the family's 1533-position model. The record is from RNAcentral.
AGUGAACGCUGGCGGUAGGCCUAACACAUGCAAGUCGAACGGCAGCACAGUAAGAGCUUGCUCUUACGGGUGGCGAGUGGCGGACGGGUGAGGAAUACAUCGGAAUCUACUUUUUCGUGGGGGAUAACGUAGGGAAACUUACGCUAAUACCGCAUACGACCUACGGGUGAAAGCAGGGGAUCUUCGGACCUUGCGCGAUUGAAUGAGCCGAUGUCGGAUUAGCUAGUUGGCGGGGUAAAGGCCCACCAAGGCGACGAUCCGUAGCUGGUCUGAGAGGAUGAUCAGCCACACUGGAACUGAGACACGGUCCAGACUCCUACGGGAGGCAGCAGUGGGGAAUAUUGGGCAAUGGGCGCAAGCCUGAUCCAGCCAUACCGCGUGGGUGAAGAAGGCCUUCGGGUUGUAAAGCCCUUUUGUUGGGAAAGAAAAGCAGCGGGUUAAUACCCCGCUGUUCUGACGGUACCCAAAGAAUAAGCACCGGCUAACUUCGUG